RNAcentral lists this ribosomal RNA (180 nucleotides) under Carpinus tientaiensis. Its description in RNAcentral is "5.8S ribosomal RNA". The stretch from base 5 to 160 matches the Rfam family "5.8S ribosomal RNA". From Rfam's summary of the family: 5.8S ribosomal RNA (5.8S rRNA) is a component of the large subunit of the eukaryotic ribosome. It is transcribed by RNA polymerase I as part of the 45S precursor that also contains 18S and 28S rRNA. The record is from RNAcentral. Lineage: Eukaryota; Viridiplantae; Streptophyta; Magnoliopsida; Fagales; Betulaceae.
UAACGACUCUCGGCAACGGAUAUCUCGGCUCUCGCAUCGAUGAAGAACGUAGCGAAAUGCGAUACUUGGUGUGAAUUGCAGAAUCCCGCGAAUCAUCGAGUCUUUGAACGCAAGUUGCGCCCGAAGCCAUCUGGUCGAGGGCACGUCUGCCUGGGUGUCACGCAUCGUUGCCCCCAACCC